UACGAAGGGGCUAGCGUUGUUCGGAAUUCCUGGGCGUAAAGCGUAUGCAGGCGGAUCGUUAAGUCGGGGGUGAAAUCCCGAGGCUCAACCUCGGAACUGCCUUCGAUACUGGCGACCUUCGAGUCCGGGAGAGGUGAGUGGAACUCCGAGUGUAGAGGUGAAAUUCGUAGAUAUUCGGAAGAACACCAGUGGCGAAGGCGGCUCACUGGCCCGGUACUGACGCUGAGAUACGAAAGCGUGGGGAGCAAACAGG
Molecule: ribosomal RNA, 253 nt
Filed under: uncultured bacterium
Lineage: Bacteria
Description: partial 16S ribosomal RNA
Rfam family: Bacterial small subunit ribosomal RNA
Source: RNAcentral